RNAcentral lists this ribosomal RNA (637 nucleotides) under uncultured bacterium. RNAcentral describes it as "bacterial SSU rRNA". It matches the Rfam family "Bacterial small subunit ribosomal RNA", at positions 202 to 842 of the family's 1533-position model. The record is from RNAcentral.
UAAAGAUUCAUCGCUGAUAGAUAGGCAUGCGUUCCAUUAGGCAGUUGGCGGGGUAACGGCCCACCAAACCGACGAUGGAUAGGGGUUCUGAGAGGAAGGUCCCCCACAUUGGUACUGAGACACGGACCAAACUCCUACGGGAGACAGCAGUGAGGAAUAUUGGUCAAUGGGCGUAAGCCUGAACCAGCCAAGUCGCGUGAGGGAUGAAGGUUCUAUGGAUCGUAAACCUCUUUUAUAAGGGAAUAAAGUGCGGGACGUGUCCCGUUUUGUAUGUACCUUAUGAAUAAGGAUCGGCUAACUCCGUGCCAGCAGCCGCGGUAAUACGGAGGAUCCGAGCGUUAUCCGGAUUUAUUGGGUUUAAAGGGUGCGUAGGCGGCCUUUUAAGUCAGCGGUGAAAGUCUGUGGCUCAACCAUAGAAUUGCCGUUGAAACUGGGAGGCUUGAGUAUGUUUGAGGCAGGCGGAAUGCGUGGUGUAGCGGUGAAAUGCUUAGAUAUCACGCAGAACCCCGAUUGCGAAGGCAGCCUGCCAAGCCAUGACUGACGCUGAUGCACGAAAGCGUGGGGAUCAAACAGGAUUAGAUACCCUGGUAGUCCACGCAGUAAACGAUGAUCACUAGCUGUUUGCGAUACACAGUAA